RNAcentral lists this microRNA precursor (66 nucleotides) under Mus musculus (house mouse). Its description in RNAcentral is "Mmu-Mir-3058_pre stem-loop". The record is from RNAcentral. Lineage: Eukaryota; Metazoa; Chordata; Mammalia; Rodentia; Muridae.
UCAGCCACGGCUUACCUGGAAGAUUGAAUGUCUACUUGGCUUUCUUCCUGUCAGCCGUGGGUGCCU